This 30-nucleotide non-coding RNA is filed under the name Rattus norvegicus (Norway rat). Lineage: Eukaryota; Metazoa; Chordata; Mammalia; Rodentia; Muridae. The record is from RNAcentral.
UGCAAGAGAAAGACACUUGACCUGUGCAAU